Molecule: non-coding RNA, 58 nt
Organism: Streptomyces oceani
Lineage: Bacteria; Bacillati; Actinomycetota; Actinomycetes; Kitasatosporales; Streptomycetaceae
Source: Rfam
ACCACAAACCCUUUACGACGGAUCGUCCGGCACGUACCUGCCGGUGAAGGAGACAACA